GACGAACGCUGGCGGCGUGCUUAACACAUGCAAGUCGAACGGAAAGGCCCUGCUUUCGUGGGGUGCUCGAGUGGCGAACGGGUGCGUAACACGUGAGUAACCUGCCCUUGACUUUGGGAUAACUUCACGAAACUGGGCCUACUACCGGAUAGGAUCUCCUGCUGCAUGGUGGGGGUUGGAAAGUUUCGUCGGUUGGGCAUGGACUCGCGGCUUAUGAGCUUGUUGGUGGGGUAGGGGCUUACCAAUGCUUUGACGGGUAGCCGGCCUGAGAGGGAGACCGGGCACAGAGGGACAGAGAAAGCGCCCAGGCGGAAUCGUGGGGAAGGAGCGGGAAACAUUGCACAACGUGCCGAAGGGGUAAGGAGCGACGUCGGGUGCGAGAGGACGGCUUUCGGGUAGGAAACCGAUUUCGCUUGUGACGAAGCGUGAGGACGGUGAAUGGAGAAAGAGGCACGGGUGAAUUAGGG
Molecule: ribosomal RNA, 467 nt
Filed under: uncultured bacterium
Lineage: Bacteria
Description: partial 16S ribosomal RNA
Rfam family: Bacterial small subunit ribosomal RNA
Source: RNAcentral